Callorhinus ursinus (northern fur seal) is the source of this 728-nucleotide long non-coding RNA. RefSeq lists it as uncharacterized. NCBI's taxonomy places the organism in Eukaryota, Metazoa, Chordata, Mammalia, Carnivora, Otariidae. The record is from RefSeq and is a predicted model, not a curated record.
AACCCAGCCUUCCAUUCACUGAGGGCAAAAUCACUUUAACAGCUAUAGGUUUAGCCACAGAAAAACCACUCAGCUUCUAAAAAACAGGCAAACAAUUUCCCAAAUUGGCAAUCUGGCAGCAGUAUAACAUUGAGGACACUUUCUCAACUCAGCUGAGAAAACUCAGGAAGGACCACAUGGAGGAACAGAGGACAAAAGUUUUAUGGUCUGCUGGGAAUGUGUCAAAGAAAAUCAGAUAGCAAAUGAAAUGAGGUUUGUCAGUCACCCCACUGGUUUCAGGGGCACACUGUGCUCACUGCUAUUCCUGUGGAAUAAGUCACUCCUUGCAGCACCCACCAGCUCAAGUUUAAUCAGCUUCACAACAGCCUAGGAGAAAGCAUCACUACGUCCUCUCAUAAAAGAUGGGCACCUGAGGCAACAAAGCUUAGAGGAAGAACUACGGGUUACACAGGCACAGACCUCCCAAGGCACCUAGGUGUAGCAAUCCUGGUCAAGACAAAUAUCUGACCUUAUUAUACUUACACAAAGCAAGCUGGUGCCUACUACAAUCAUCCCAAUCAGGGAGCACAGCCACCUGGAAGAAAAGAGCCAUCAGCAAACUGUGCUAAAGGGAGAAAUCCCUUCUACCUGCCACUCUAUCUCCACAACACUAGUCAGUCCUACACCCCGAAUUCCAGGAACCCCUUAGGAUGUGAGAAGAUGAUGACAUCUCUACAUGAUCUGUUUAU